UACGAGUGCCUCGAGCGUUAUCCGGAAUUAUUGGGCGUAAAGCGCUCGUAGGCGGGACUGGAAGUCCGUGUUGAAAGACCUCGGCUCAACUGAGGGACCGGCUCGGAUACUCUAGUUCUUGAGGCAAUCAGAGGGUGAUGGAAUUCCCGGUGUAGCGGUGAAAUGCGUAGAUAUCAGGAAGAACACCCGUGGCUAAGGCGGCUCUCUAGUACGGUACUGACGCUGAGACGCGAAAGCGUGGGGAGCGAACAGG
This 253-nucleotide ribosomal RNA is filed under the name uncultured bacterium. Its description in RNAcentral is "partial 16S ribosomal RNA". It matches the Rfam family "Bacterial small subunit ribosomal RNA", at positions 524 to 776 of the family's 1533-position model. The record is from RNAcentral.